RNAcentral lists this long non-coding RNA (3115 nucleotides) under Salmo salar (Atlantic salmon). Its description in RNAcentral is "lncRNA (ENSSSAG00000084737.1)". The record is from RNAcentral. Lineage: Eukaryota; Metazoa; Chordata; Actinopteri; Salmoniformes; Salmonidae.
UUUUAAGUAGUCAUUUUUAUAUACACAUGUAUAUAUUCAUAUAUUACACAUUUAAUACAGGCAUAUUGAGAUCGAUCAUGAAGAGAACAGAAAAAAAAGUGGCUGAGAUAUUUGUAAAAAUGUACAUUUCAUGAGAAAUCAUAUACACACACAAUUUUGCUUUUUUAACUCUCCUUUUGACAGACAUACAUACAUAUAAAGAAUUCCCAUAAUGACAAGCUCCCCCCCCAAAAAAAAACACAGGGUGUUAUGUAGAGACAGCAAGAACCAGCUUGCUAAAUAUACGUUGCAUAUAUAUUCCCGUUUCUGUGUGGGGUUUCUCUGAUCGGAGGGGUGAAUCGAGAGUAGCCUGUGCUGUUUAAAGGAGAACUCCACAAAAACAUGUUGUUCCACUCUAAACGUUCCUCACCUGCUACAUUUGUUUUGCAUGAUAAUGCUUUAGUUUAGUUAAACUCCAUUCAGAUAACCUCACAGCAUUUGGUUGGGACAGUAUGGUGUCAUAUAGUGUUCUUGAAGAGAUUUAAAUAAAUGUUGAGUUUUUUGUGUAUUAUUUUACCCAUCAUACAACUAAACUAAGUAUCUGCCUCUACAAUGCUACUGAAGGUUGCAAAUCUCAUCUUUAAAAAACAUUGUACACACAAUUUAAACAUUUCCAAUAAAAACAGUGGUGAUUCAGAUUAAUCCAUGCCCUUACAAAACGAAAUCUUGACCGAAUCGUACUGUGUACAAAACAAAUAAUAUUUUAAACAUCAACAUUGUUAAACAAUAAUUACUUCUUUCUCAUAGUUAUUAAAUUCUGUGGCCACAUGGUCUAAGUAUUUUGUUGUUAUACUGAACAGUUUUAUUUGAGGAUAGGUUGGAUACAGAGAUACAUAGAGAUAGAUAGAGAGGAGUCUAGAUGGAUAUAUAUGGAGAUGAGUCCUCUAACUAUCUCUAUGAGCGGAUCACAUAUUAACUAGUAAGCGAUGCGAUGUGACGAAAGGCACCUUUUUAUACAAGUAAGAGAAAGGCUUGGAUUAACCAGAUCUACUCAGAGUGCCUCUGAAAUGGCACACUAUUCCAUAGUGCACUACUAUUAAACAAAAUAAUUGAACUAUAUACUGUGGGGCAUAGGCUGUCAUUUCAGAAGCAGCAAGAACGUUAACAGUAUCAAACCCUAACUGUUCCAAAGACCAGGUGUCUACAAGGAUACGGUGGUCAGAUGGCCACAUACAGGAUGGACAGUAACAGUACAAAUCUAGUAUUGAAGUAACCUACAAUGCCUAGAGGGGCCUUUAGAAAAUAGUCCACAAUCACAAUGUUGCUGAUGUGCCCAUUAUCAAUGUUUGUAAUGACAAUACAGUACUGAUCAUUUACCUAUACCUAUGUCAAAACAAUGGUUUGGGGUAGGAGGCAUUGGAUGAAAAAGGCAUACAAAAACAUGUUUGUGAUAUUGAUAGAACUAACUGCUACAUAACGUGUAUGCAUAUCCCUCCAUCUAGGAGAUGUAACCCAUCUAGAUACUGGUCCUCCAUUGUUAUAUAAGGCAAGAAUGAAUCCCUCAGUAUGACAUCGAGUCAGCACCAAGAACCUUUGUCUGUCUCUCUCCUCACAGGCAAACAUGGCAGUUACAGUAUGUAACCUAUCCCAUCUGGAUAGAAUUGUAUUACCGUUAUCAACAGAUGUCAAGGUAUAUUUUCUUAAGGCAUUUCUAGAAUUGAUUUGGCCUGAUUUUGAUUAAGAAGCUAGGUCAGUAGGCUGUCCAGUGCUCUUAAAUAGACAGAAGGCUUUUUGGGAACAAAGAUCUCUCUCUGAUCGAAGAGAGAAAAAUACCCAAGAUUGAAAAGACUUUCAAAGGUGACAUGGUAGCAAAGAGAGAACUGAGACAGUGAGUCCACUGGAUCAGUGGUUUCUGGAAGACAGAUGCCUUUGGGUUUGACUGGUGUAGAAACUAGAGGCAUUUUCCUUUCAAUGUCCGAAAACAGUACUAUUAUAAAACAACAACUGGCACAAGAUUAGUGCUUUCUUUUUUGUUAGCAGUGUUUUUUAACAUACAAAAAGGGCAGAAAGAAACGAUAGGCACGUUUCUCCAUGAAUUUAUCCACAGUAAAGAAGAGGCACUGAGGUCAGUUAAGUAUGAGUUGCACCUGUCACUCGGCCGUGUCAUUGCCAUUGUUAUCAAAGUUCUAGACGUCACAGCCAUAUUGAUACCCAAAAGUAGAACGUGGGCUAAUGACUGUUUUGUCGAAAUUACACUAUAGUGGCAUGGAAAUACGAUGACAUUGCUAAAGUAGGCAAAUAUUUAGUAAGAAACAACUUUGCCAUCAUUAUCAUGUUGUCAAAUGUACUUCAUGCAGAUGGAAAUGUUGUCAUUACCUAGCACAGUUCGUCAAAAAUAGCUAGCAAUGCUAAAGUUAGCUAUCCGGUGAAUUCCACUCAAUCUUAGCUAGCUAGCAAACAUUAUACUGCAUCUAAAGUUAAUAUAGCAACAUCAAAAUGAUGACAAAAGGUUUUCCUACGAAUUAUUUGCCUUCUUUAGUAAUAUAAUUAUAUUUCCAAGCCACUGCAAUGCACUUUUGAUUAAAAAUUCAUCAUCACAAAUUGACAAUGCAUUGAGUGGAAUGAUCAGUCGGGCAUCAGUCCUAAAACCAAUGUUCAAAACAAUAUUGUGACGAAACGUGCAGCCCACAAAUUGUUUUUUUCCUUUGAACAAAAACACUUAAAAAGUACUUUGUAUGGUUGUCUGAAGCAACAUACAACCAAUUAAGCUUGUGCCAUGACAGUUUUAGAGAAGCUGUUUAGUUUAAGACAGCUUCUACUUCAAUUUCUUCAUUGCACACAAUCAGAAUAGAAAAAAAGACAAAUCUGUAAAAAGAGAUCGAGUUAAGUCUUGCAAAGUACAAUCAAUACUCAGCGACCGUAUUUUGACUGGAGAAGAGAAGGAGAGGGGGGUGAGGGAAGAAACUACGGCCUUUCCACUCCUCUUCUCACAUCUUCUCUUCUCACCGUUUUACACAAAAUCUUUGUUACUCAAGAGCUUCAGUGGAACACAGAACAUUUACAAAGGAGAGAAAAUAAAAUGUCCGGAAAGAUUGUUAGUGCAGAAUUUUUUUCCCAAUUUUUUUGUGGAAUAUAU